Molecule: ribosomal RNA, 253 nt
Filed under: uncultured bacterium
Lineage: Bacteria
Description: partial 16S ribosomal RNA
Rfam family: Bacterial small subunit ribosomal RNA
Source: RNAcentral
UACGGGGGGGGCAAGCGUUGUUCGGAAUUACUGGGCGUAAAGGGCUCGUAGGCGGCCAACUAAGUCGGACGUGAAAUCCCUCGGCUUAACCGGGGAACUGCGUCCGAUACUGGAUGGCUUGAGUUCGGGAGAGGGAUGCGGAAUUCCAGGUGUAGCGGUGAAAUGCGUAGAUAUCUGGAGGAACACCGGUGGCGAAGGCGGCAUCCUGGACCGACACUGACGCUGAGGAGCGAAAGCGUGGGGAGCAAACAGG